AUUACGGCGAACGGGUGAGGAACACGUGAGAAAUCUGCCUUCAACUCUGGGAUAACUCCGGGAAACCGGGGCUAAUACCGGAUAUGAAAUCUGCUGGCAUCCGCGGAUUUGGAAAGUUUUUCGGUUGAAGAUGAUCUCGCGGCCUAUCAGCUUGUUGGUGAGGUAAUGGCUCACCAAGGCGACGACGGGUAGCCGGCCUGAGAGGGCGACCGGCCACACUGGGACUGAGACACGGCCCAGACUCCUACGGGAGGCAGCAGUGGGGAAUAUUGGGCAAUGGAGGAAACUCUGACCCAGCGACGCCGCGUGCGGGAUGAAGGCCUUCGGGUUGUAAACCGCUUUCAGCAGGGAAUAAGCGAAAGUGACGGUACCUGCAGAAGAAGCACCGGCUAACUAUGUGCCAGCAGCCGCGGUAAUACAUAGGGUGCAAGCGUUGUCCGGAAUUAUUGGGCGUAAAGAGCUCGUAGGUGGUUCGUCACGUCGGAUGUGAAACUCUGGGGCUUAACCCCUGACCUGCAUUCGAUACGGGCGAGCUUGAGUAUGGUAGGGGAGUCUGGAAUUCCUGGUGUAGCGGUGGAAUGCGCAGAUAUCAGGAGGAACACCAAUGGCGGAGGCAG
This 617-nucleotide ribosomal RNA is filed under the name uncultured Actinomycetes bacterium. RNAcentral's name for it is "bacterial SSU rRNA". It matches the Rfam family "Bacterial small subunit ribosomal RNA", at positions 92 to 724 of the family's 1533-position model. The record is from RNAcentral. Lineage: Bacteria; Bacillati; Actinomycetota; Actinomycetes.